UGGGGAAUAUUGCACAAUGGGCGCAAGCCUGAUGCAGCCAUGCCGCGUGUAUGAAGAAGGCCUUCGGGUUGUAAAGUACUUUCAGCGAGGAGGAAGGCGUUGUGGUUAAUAACCGCAGCGAUUGACGUUACUCGCAGAAGAAGCACCGGCUAACUCCGUGCCAGCAGCCGCGGAAAUACGGAGGGUGCAAGCGUUAAUCGGAAUUACUGGGCGUAAAGCGCACGCAGGCGGUCAGUCAAGUCGGAUGUGAAAUCCCCGGGCUCAACCUGGGAACUGCAUCCGAAACUGGCAGGCUAGAGUCUUGUAGAGGGGGGUAGAAUUCCAGGUGUAGCGGUGAAAUGCGUAGAGAUCUGGAGGAAUACCGGUGGCGAAGGCGGCCCCCUGGACAAAGACUGACGCUCAGUUGCGAAAGCGUGGGGAGCAAACA
RNAcentral lists this ribosomal RNA (427 nucleotides) under uncultured bacterium. Its description in RNAcentral is "partial 16S ribosomal RNA". It matches the Rfam family "Bacterial small subunit ribosomal RNA", at positions 355 to 774 of the family's 1533-position model. The record is from RNAcentral.